RNAcentral lists this ribosomal RNA (137 nucleotides) under Cyanobacteria bacterium HKST-UBA03. RNAcentral's name for it is "partial 16S ribosomal RNA". It matches the Rfam family "Bacterial small subunit ribosomal RNA", at positions 1 to 150 of the family's 1533-position model. The record is from RNAcentral. Lineage: Bacteria; Bacillati; Cyanobacteriota.
GUUACGGAGAGUUUGAUCCUGGCUCAGGACUAACGCUGGCGGAAUGCAUCAUACAUGCAAGUCGAACGGACCUUCGGGUCAGUGGCGGACGGGUGAGUAACACGUAGAUCACGUGCCUCUAGCUGGGGGACAACAGU